This is a long non-coding RNA of Megalobrama amblycephala (Wuchang bream), 1006 nucleotides long. RefSeq lists it as uncharacterized. The record is from RefSeq and is a predicted model, not a curated record. NCBI's taxonomy places the organism in Eukaryota, Metazoa, Chordata, Actinopteri, Cypriniformes, Xenocyprididae. The transcript is spliced from 2 exons.
GAAACCUGGAGUAAAGUGUCUUGCUCAAGGACACACUGGUGGUGACGGCUGCGGAGAUCGAACCAGCAACCUUCUGCUUACCAGUAGUCUUGCUUAUGGAGAGCAUGCAAAUGUUUGGAGCAGACACAGCCGCAGCCAGAUUGUCCCGCACAUCUUCUCCCACUCUUGCUUCAAGGUUGUGGGGUUCAGGGGUCCAUCAUCAUGGUCUUCUUCAUCCUCUGGUUCAACGAUGUCCCCAUUGAGAAGAGCAGCAAUGAGGGAUAUUAUGGAUGGCAAAGACAGGCGAAGGUGUUCAAGGUGGUCAGCUGCAGAAUUGGCACAGCUGUGUUGAGAUGGCAGUGGGAUGUGGGGUUCACUGCCUGCAAAUACGUGAUUGUUAAAAGUUUGAAUAAAGCUUUGUUUCAUGUGUUAUUUACUUGUAUAUGCAUUUAUUUAUUGUCAUGUUACUUUUAUUAAUUCUUUUACUUUUUUUAUUUUGCUAUUAUUAUCAGUAAAUGUAUAUAUUUUAUUAAUUAAUGCAUUAUUUCAUUGCUUGACUGUAAAUGGUGAUGUAUUCACGUCGGCUGUAUUUGUCUAGUGUGUAUUCAUGCAUAGCUAUGUCAUAUUACAAAACAUUACAUUUUGCUUGUUUUACUAAAGAAGUAAAACGAAAAGUAAUAUAAUUAAGCUUUGGUCAGCAUUUAUCAUUAUUAUUGUAAGUGUUGGGGUGGGCUAGCAAUGCAAUUCAUUCUGGGGUAAUCUUAAUUUUUAAGUAGUGAUACUUACAUUUUUUGAGUAUAAAAUCAGUCUUCUCCAAAGGCGAGAUCUUCGAGCAGCUGCCUGACGUCUUCUUUGUGCAAACAUUGCUAACACUGAGAAAAACUGUACUAGGUAGGGUUGUCGAGUUACUGGUGCUGUGAGGUGUUAGUGCACCUGUUGCUCAUAUCUUUAUUUUUAUUGCAGGACCUAUAAUUACAUACAAGAUCAGGGAAAAUACCAUGGUUGUAUCUUUAACAAUGAACAAUAA